UAUCUCUGUAGAGUCUGCAUAUCAAUAAGCGGAGGAAAAGAAACUAACUAGGAUUCCCUCAGUAACGGCGAGUGAAGCGGGAAGAGCUCAAAUUUGAAAUCUUCAAGGUUCUACCUUGACGAAUUGUAGUUUAAAGAAGUGUUUUCUGUUGGAGUUUUGGUAAAAGUUCUUUGGAAUAGGACAUCAUAGAGGGUGAGAAUCCCGUAUUUGACCAUUACUUCCAGCGUUGUGAUACACUUUCAAAGAGUCGGAUUGUUUGGGAAUGCAGUCCAAAAUGGGUGGUAAAUUUCAUCUAAAGCUAAAUACUGGCGAGAGACCGAUAGCGAACAAGUACCGUGAGGGAAAGAUGAAAAGAACUUUGAAAAGAGAGUUAAACAGUACGUGAAAUUGUCAAAAGGGAAGCGUUUGACACCAGUGUUGUUUUCUCGAAAAUCAAUUAAAAAAGGCAGGAUUUUGUGUUGUAUUGACUUUAUCAGCUUUCUGCACUCUUUUCUUGUCUUUUUUAAUGCACUUUUCGUUUAACAAGUCAACAUCGAUUUCUUUUGUUGUAAAAGGGUCAUUGGAAGGUGGCUUUCUUUUCGGAGAAAGUGUUUAUAGCCUUUGGCCUCUGCAAUCGGAGAGAUUGAGGUCUGCAGCGUAGAUCCUUCGGGGUUAGAUACAUUUGUGCUAAGUUAUAGCCUUUCAUAGACAACUUGUUGACUAUGAUCAGUCAUGUAGCUUACUCGCUUAUGCUAUUUUACCUACGCUUAGGAUGUUGAAGAUGUAGCACAUCAU
RNAcentral lists this ribosomal RNA (774 nucleotides) under uncultured Neocallimastigales. Its description in RNAcentral is "partial large subunit ribosomal RNA". It matches the Rfam family "Eukaryotic large subunit ribosomal RNA", at positions 24 to 635 of the family's 3401-position model. Lineage: Eukaryota; Fungi; Neocallimastigomycota; Neocallimastigomycetes; Neocallimastigales. The record is from RNAcentral.